AGUAUUCACCUGGUUGAGUACCAGAAUAGAGAGGAAGACUGCUGGAGGCAGAUGAAGAUGGAGGAGACUGACCGUGCAUUUCGUAAAGGAGAUUUUGUCAUCCGAAUGCUAGAGAGUUCCAUAAUUUUGUACCACUUAUGCUUCUUGACACUCGGAAAGGAUGUGGCCAGUGCGGAGGCUUGACCUCAUCUCCUGUACUUGGCUUCGCUCUGACACGCUGUUCUCCCACACUCUUGCCCUGUUUUCUCCGUCAUCAGCUGGCCACUCACCAGGGGCCAAGCCAAGAGGAGGCAACCGCAGGUGCCCUUGUAGCCGCCUCCAGUGUUGGCAACCGAAGCCUGCCCCUGCCAGGUCCCAUGCCCGGUGGGGCUGCGAGGGUCACCCGAACAUAACAAUUCAUUUACAGAUCAUAUAAAUACAUGAAAGAGCCGGGUCAUUUAUGGGGUUCCCAGUUGGCAAUGACCCCACUGCACUCCAGCCAAAUGAGGCCGAGGAAGGUGAGCUGAUGAUCCAAGUACACUAUCCGUCUCUAGCAUUGGUGCAAUCACAGUAACACAGUUGCGCCUACUUGUUUUUGUCUUUUUUUUUUUUUUUUUUAAGUAGAUCUAAUUCCUUAGCCGUGUCCCUGAUGC
Long non-coding RNA from Canis lupus familiaris (dog), 632 nucleotides. RefSeq lists it as uncharacterized. The transcript has 3 exons. The record is from RefSeq and is a predicted model, not a curated record. Lineage: Eukaryota; Metazoa; Chordata; Mammalia; Carnivora; Canidae.